This 440-nucleotide ribosomal RNA is filed under the name uncultured bacterium. Its description in RNAcentral is "partial 16S ribosomal RNA". It matches the Rfam family "Bacterial small subunit ribosomal RNA", at positions 338 to 795 of the family's 1533-position model. The record is from RNAcentral.
CCUACGGGAGGCAGCAGUGGGGAAUAUUGCACAAUGGGGGAAACCCUGAUGCAGCGACGCCGCGUGAGUGAAGAAGUAUUUCGGUAUGUAAAGCUCUAUCAGCAGGGAAGAAAAUGACGGUACCUGACUAAGAAGCCCCGGCUAAAUACGUGCCAGCAGCCGCGGUAAUACGUAGGGGGCAAGCGUUCUCCGGAUUUACUGGGUGUAAAGGGAGCGUAGACGGCGGUGCAAGCCAGAUGUGAAAGCCCGGGGCUCAAACCCGGGACUGCAUUUGGAACUGUGCUGCUAGAGUGUCGGAGAGGCAGGCGGAAUUCCGAGUGUAGCGGUGAAAUGCGUAGAUAUACGGAGGAACACCAGUGGCGAAGGCGGAUUGCUGGACAGUAACUGACGCUGAGGCGCGAAAGCGUGGGGAGCAAACAGGAUUAGAUACCCUUGUAGUC